This 382-nucleotide ribosomal RNA is filed under the name Leucobacter celer. RNAcentral's name for it is "bacterial SSU rRNA". It matches the Rfam family "Bacterial small subunit ribosomal RNA", at positions 52 to 428 of the family's 1533-position model. Lineage: Bacteria; Bacillati; Actinomycetota; Actinomycetes; Micrococcales; Microbacteriaceae. The record is from RNAcentral.
CGGGGGGCAAGGUCGAACGCUGAAGCCCGAGCUUGCUCGGGUGGAUGAGUGGCGAACGGGUGAGUAACACGUGAGUAACCUGCCUAUCACUCUGGGAUAAGCGCUGGAAACGGCGUCUAAUACUGGAUAUGUCCUGUCACCGCAUGGUGUGCAGGUGGAAAGAUUUAUCGGUGGUAGAUGGACUCGCGGCCUAUCAGCUUGAUGGUGAGGUAAUGGCUCACCAUGGCGACGACGGGUAGCCGGCCUGACAGGGUGACCGGCCACACUGGGACUGAGACACGGCCCAGACUCCUACGGGAGGCAGCAGUGGGGAAUAUUGCACAAUGGGCGCAAGCCUGAUGCAGCAACGCCGCGUGAAGGAAUGACGGCCUUCGGGUUGUAA